GCCGAGGUGGCGGAAUUUGGCAGACGCGCAUGGUUAAGGACCAUGUGGGCUUUGCCCGUGGGGGUUCGAGUCCCCCCCUCGGCAUCA
RNAcentral lists this transfer RNA (87 nucleotides) under Acidobacteriota bacterium. RNAcentral describes it as "Acidobacteria bacterium tRNA-Leu". It matches the Rfam family "tRNA". From Rfam's summary of the family: Transfer RNA (tRNA) molecules are approximately 80 nucleotides in length. Their secondary structure includes four short double-helical elements and three loops (D, anti-codon, and T loops). Lineage: Bacteria; Pseudomonadati; Acidobacteriota. The record is from RNAcentral.